AACCGGACGCCCUCCGCGUCCCCGGACGAGGGAUCAGUACCCGGCGCGCGACAAGACUGGCCAAG
Non-coding RNA from Microbacterium testaceum StLB037, 65 nucleotides. The record is from Rfam. Lineage: Bacteria; Bacillati; Actinomycetota; Actinomycetes; Micrococcales; Microbacteriaceae.